UGGGGAAUAUUGGACAAUGGGCGAAAGCCUGAUCCAGCCAUGCCGCGUGAGUGAUGAAGGCCCUAGGGUUGUAAAGCUCUUUCACCGGCGAAGAUAAUGACGGUAGCCGGAGAAGAAGCCCCGGCUAACUUCGUGCCAGCAGCCGCGGUAAUACGAAGGGGGCUAGCGUUGUUCGGAAUUACUGGGCGUAAAGGGCGCGUAGGCGGCGCGGUAAGUCACUUGUGAAAUCUCUGAGCUUAACUCAGAACGGCCAAGUGAUACUGCUGUGCUAGAGUGCGGAAGAGGCAACCGGAAUUCUUGGUGUAGCAGUGAAAUGCGUAGAUAUCAAGAGGAACACCUGAGGCGAAGGCGGGUUGCUGGGCCGACACUGACGCUGAUGCGCGAAAGCCAGGGGAGCAAACG
Molecule: ribosomal RNA, 402 nt
Filed under: uncultured bacterium
Lineage: Bacteria
Description: bacterial SSU rRNA
Rfam family: Bacterial small subunit ribosomal RNA
Source: RNAcentral